CCGGGCAAGUUUGUUCCCCGAGUUCGGAGCCCAGGAGCCCCCGCGGCUGCCGCGUAGGUGCCCUCGGCCUGAGUCGGGAUGGAGCUGCCUGCUGUGAACCUGAAGGUGAUUCUCCUAGGUCACUGGCUGCUGACAACCUGGUAAGUGACUCUGUGGGUAUGUGUGUGUCUCCUGCGGUCUCAUGGUCUGUGUCAGCCGGGUCAGGUCCUGGUUCUGCCAUGUUUUAGCCAGGUCACUUUGGGCCAGACAGCUCGGCCUCUCCGGGUCUUGAUUUCCAUCUGUACAAUAGGCAUAAGGAUUGCACACCCUGCAGGAGCUGGGAGGGAGACGUGGAAGUGCUCAUCAGAGCUCCCCAGGGCCUGCCCCACAGUGAGGCCUCAGCACUGCAGCUUGAUGUUCACCUUUACCAUCUCUUUUAAUCUGUUGAGCUUCUGGAGACAUUUCUUUGCCAAACCAAGAUUGGAAACCAUUGAGCUCACCUGUGCGCUUUGCAAACUUUGAAGUGCAGCGCACAGGGCAACAGCUGUGAGUAAUGUGAACCGUAACCAUCAUGGUUCACGACCUCGAGAAGCAGGGCCAAAAUACAGAUUUCUUAGUCACACUUCCCCAAGAUUCUGAGUUGGUGAUUCUGGGCUGGGACCCAGGCACCUGCUUUCUUAAAAGCAAAAGAUAAGAUGGUUUAUUCAAAGACCUAUUGAACCGAAUGGCACUCCACACCUGCCUUGCACAUGUCUUCUGCAUGUUACACUUCAGUGAAUGUCCUAUAAAUCUAGGAAGUGCCUGCUGCAUACAGGGGAAGGAAGGCCCAGUGGGUUUGGUAAUAAACAAGGUAGACUCAGUCCCUGUCUUCCUGAGUCUUCCUGGCAGCACGGCAGGGUGAGCAAGAGCAUGGCCUCUCCAGCCAGACUCCAAAUCCCAGUCCCACUGCUCAGCAACUGUGUGACCUUGGGCAAGUUACUUAACCUCAUUGUGU
This 973-nucleotide small RNA is filed under the name Pongo abelii (Sumatran orangutan). Its description in RNAcentral is "processed transcript". Lineage: Eukaryota; Metazoa; Chordata; Mammalia; Primates; Hominidae. The record is from RNAcentral.